RNAcentral lists this ribosomal RNA (422 nucleotides) under uncultured bacterium. RNAcentral describes it as "partial 16S ribosomal RNA". It matches the Rfam family "Bacterial small subunit ribosomal RNA", at positions 360 to 774 of the family's 1533-position model. The record is from RNAcentral.
AAUUUUGGACAAUGGGGGAAACCCUGAUCCAGCAAUCCCGCGUGUAUGAUGAAGGCCUUCGGGUUGUAAAGUACUUUUGGCAGAGAAGAAAAGGUACCUCCUAAUACGAGGUACUGCUGACGGUAUCUGCAGAAUAAGCACCGGCUCACUACGUGCUAGCAGCCGCGGUAAUACGUAGGGUGCAAGCGUUAAUCAGAAUUACUGGUCGUAAAGAGUGUUUAGGCGGUUCGGAAAUAAAGAUGUGAAAUCCCAGGGCUCAACCUUGGAACUGCAUUUUUAACUGCCGAGCUAGAGUAUGUCAGAGGGGGGUAGAAUUCCACGUGUAGCAGUGAAAUGCGUAGAUAUGUGGAGGAAUACCGAUGGCGAAGGCAGCCCCCUGGGAUAAUACUGACGCUCAGACACGAAAGCGUGGGGAGCAAACA